This 223-nucleotide long non-coding RNA is filed under the name Aquilegia coerulea. Its description in RNAcentral is "long non-coding RNA (ACOE_LNC000388)". The record is from RNAcentral. Lineage: Eukaryota; Viridiplantae; Streptophyta; Magnoliopsida; Ranunculales; Ranunculaceae.
CUACUCUCAACUGGGUCACGGGCCACACACAGUUAGGCCCACAGUUCUAACUAAGGUGGAUCCAGCAACACUCCCCUCAGCAACAUAUUUAUUUUUAAAUGUGCAAAGAAUCGACCCAUGACCUCCCAAGACCGAACCGUUUUAAUACCGCGUUGUAAACCAGUUUCUCUAAAAGCUCUACAUUUCUCAAAUACUCAAUUUUGCUGUUGAUAAUUAAGGCUCU